CAGCCGCCACGGUAAUACAGAGGGUGCGAGCGUUAAUCGGAUUUACUGGGCGUAAAGCGUGCGUAGGCGGCUUCUUAAGUCGGAUGUGAAAUCCCUGAGCUUAACUUAGGAAUUGCAUUCGAUACUGGGAAGCUAGAGUAUGGGAGAGGAUGGUAGAAUUCCAGGUGUAGCGGUGAAAUGCGUAGAGAUCUGGAGGAAUACCGAUGGCGAAGGCAGCCAUCUGGCCUAAUACUGACGCUGAGGUACGAAAGCAUGGGGAGCAAACAGGAUUAGAGACCCCCGUAGUCCCUGUCUCUUAUAA
Molecule: ribosomal RNA, 301 nt
Filed under: uncultured bacterium
Lineage: Bacteria
Description: partial 16S ribosomal RNA
Rfam family: Bacterial small subunit ribosomal RNA
Source: RNAcentral